RNAcentral lists this ribosomal RNA (552 nucleotides) under uncultured Diversispora. Its description in RNAcentral is "SSU rRNA". It matches the Rfam family "Eukaryotic small subunit ribosomal RNA", at positions 531 to 1082 of the family's 1831-position model. Lineage: Eukaryota; Fungi; Glomeromycota; Glomeromycetes; Diversisporales; Diversisporaceae. The record is from RNAcentral.
CCCUUAACGAGGAACAAUUGGAGGGCAAGNCUGGUGCCAGCNNNCGCGGUAAUUCCAGCUCCAAUAGCGUAUAUUAAAGUNNUUGCAGUUAAAAAGCUNNUAGUUGAACUUCGGGGGUUACCCAUUGGUCAGGCUUAAUUGACUGUACUGGUGAGAUAAAUCUCUACCUUCUGAGGAACUCUCAUGCCACUUAUUUGGUGUGGUUGGAAAUCAGGACUGUUACUUUGAAAAAAUUAGAGUGUUUAAAGCAGGCUAACGUCUGAAUACAUUAGCAUGGAAUAAUGAAAUAGGACGGACUGAUUCUAUUUCGUUGGUUUCUAGGAUCACCGUAAUGAUUAAUAGGGAUAGUUGGGGGCAUUAGUAUUCAAUUGUCAGAGGUGAAAUUCUUGGAUUUAUUGAAGACUAACUACUGCGAAAGCAUUUGCCAAGGAUGUUUUCAUUAAUCAAGAACGAAAGUUAGGGGAUCGAAGACGAUCAGAUACCGUCGUAGUCUUAACCAUAAACUAUGCCGACUAGGGAUCGGACGAAGUUAAUUUUAUAAUGACGCGUUCG